CGGGCAGGCGGAUGCGCAAGUCGGACGUGAAAGCUCCUGGCUCAACUGGGAGAGGUCGUUCGAAACUGCGUGACUAGAGGACAGUAGAGGUGUGUGGAAUUCCGGGUGGAGUGGUGAAAUGCGUAGAGAUCCGGAGGAACACCAGAGGCGAAGGCGGCACACUGGACUGUACCUGACGCUGAGCCGCGAAAGCCAGGGUAGCGAACG
This 207-nucleotide ribosomal RNA is filed under the name uncultured bacterium. RNAcentral describes it as "partial 16S ribosomal RNA". It matches the Rfam family "Bacterial small subunit ribosomal RNA", at positions 568 to 774 of the family's 1533-position model. The record is from RNAcentral.